AGAGGUUGCAAGGUCAAGACCAUAGCAGAAGUGCUCAUGGUGUAGCCCUGUCAGAUUCAAAUGAAUCUGCAAAUUCUGCU
RNAcentral lists this ribozyme (80 nucleotides) under Crocodylus porosus (Australian saltwater crocodile). RNAcentral describes it as "Mammalian CPEB3 ribozyme (ENSCPRG00005016602.1)". It matches the Rfam family "Mammalian CPEB3 ribozyme". From Rfam's summary of the family: The mammalian CPEB3 ribozyme is a self cleaving RNA located in the second intron of the CPEB3 gene which belongs to a family of genes regulating messenger RNA polyadenylation. This ribozyme is highly conserved and found only in mammals. Lineage: Eukaryota; Metazoa; Chordata; Crocodylia; Crocodylidae. The record is from Rfam by way of RNAcentral.